RNAcentral lists this long non-coding RNA (685 nucleotides) under Salvator merianae (Argentine black and white tegu). RNAcentral's name for it is "lncRNA (ENSSMRG00000011937.1)". Lineage: Eukaryota; Metazoa; Chordata; Lepidosauria; Squamata; Teiidae. The record is from RNAcentral.
AGCGCAAUAGUCUCCGCUGCCCGCUGGGCCCGCCCCUUGGUUCUUUUACAUAGGCUCUCCUGCUCUCCAAUCAGCUCGGCCUUUGCCCCUCGCGCGCGUCUCUCGCCGGGGGUUGCUGUGGCGACGGGCUAAACCAGAGGCUGUGUGUCGGCCGGCUUGUGUGAUCCUCUCAGGCGGGGAGGAGGACGAGGUGGCGCCGCCGCGCGCUCUUCAUUUUAGUCCUCGCGCCGCGGCGCAAGGUGCUGGUCGCUGCAGCGGCGGGAGGCGGAGCAGGCACAACAAAGGUAGAAGGGGAAAACAUCCCAGGAGUACCAACAGUGGGAUGACCGAUUGCAAGGAAAACAGAAGUUGAAUUAGACCCCAUCUUCUGGAUAAUCAAGUCCUAACCAUUGGUCACUCAAGAAUUGCUUCUUUGCCAUAUCUGAUGUCUCUGCUGGAGAAAAGCAACCAAGGAGAAAUAAUUAAAGCUUGGGCAAAGAAAGCUCUUCUAGUCUGGAUGAGCAUCAGGUGAGAUAAUGAGCUGGUUUACCUUGAGAAAACCACAAGUAUCUUCUUCAUCCCUAUUGGAGAUGGUCUUCAUUGAGAUCAGGUGUACCUAGGCUACAAGAAUGAAUGCCUAGGUACUGCCUCCAGGUUGGGUAGGAUGACUGAAGGCCAUAUGCUGGGAGUCAAGAGCAGGUGAAGG